RNAcentral lists this long non-coding RNA (222 nucleotides) under Lathyrus oleraceus (garden pea). Its description in RNAcentral is "Pisum sativum (pea) long non-coding RNA (PSAT_LNC025825)". Lineage: Eukaryota; Viridiplantae; Streptophyta; Magnoliopsida; Fabales; Fabaceae. The record is from RNAcentral.
GUACCUUGAAAUGCCGACACUAAUUCUUAUCAUCACCACUCGAAGUGUCCUACGCUUCCUUCUUUGCAAGCAUUUCUUGGUUGCUUCAAGCUUAACUUAAGAAUAAGAAAAAUUAACCAAACAAAUAGGGCAUACCAAAUUCAUUGUAACAUACAAUUAAAUCUCACAAAAGAUUCAUGCAAUUAACAAGAAAAAGUUUAUGGUGAAACUAGAGCCACCAAA